AUUGAACGCUAGCGGCAGGCUUAACACAUGCAAGUCGAGCGAGCGGCGGACGGGUGAGUAAUGUCUGGGAACCUGCCCAAUGGAGGGGGAUAACUACUGGAAAGGGUGGCUAAUACCGCAUACCAUCAGAUGGGCCCAGAUGGGAUUAGCUAGUUGGUGGGGUAAUGGCUCACCUAGGCGACGAUCCCUAGCUGGUCUGAGAGGAUGACCAGCCACACUGGAACUGAGACACGGUCCAGACUCCUACGGGAGGCAGCAGUGGGGAAUAUUGGACAAUGGGCGAAAGCCUGAUGCAGCCAUGCCGCGUGUGUGAAGAAGGCCUUCGGGUUGUAAAGCACUUUCAGCGAGGAGGCGUUACCUGCAGAAGAAGCACCGGCUAACUACGUGCCAGCAGCCGCGGUAAUUC
RNAcentral lists this ribosomal RNA (406 nucleotides) under uncultured bacterium. RNAcentral's name for it is "partial 16S ribosomal RNA". It matches the Rfam family "Bacterial small subunit ribosomal RNA", at positions 30 to 526 of the family's 1533-position model. The record is from RNAcentral.